This 1319-nucleotide ribosomal RNA is filed under the name uncultured Alphaproteobacteria bacterium. RNAcentral's name for it is "bacterial SSU rRNA". It matches the Rfam family "Bacterial small subunit ribosomal RNA", at positions 27 to 1393 of the family's 1533-position model. The record is from RNAcentral. Lineage: Bacteria; Pseudomonadati; Pseudomonadota; Alphaproteobacteria.
GAACGUACGCUGGCGGCACGCCUAACACAUGCAAGUCGAACGAAGUAGCAAUACUUAGUGGCAGACGGGUGAGUAACAUGUAGGUAUCUGCCCUUUGGCCUGGAAUAACACGAGGAAACUUGUGCUAAUACCGGAUAAGUCUUUACAGAGAAAGCUUUAUGCACCAUUGGAUGAGCCUGCACUUGAUUAGUUUGUUGGUGGGGUAAUGGCCUACCAAGACUGUGAUCAAUAGCUGAUUUGAGAGGAUGAUCAGCCACAUUGGGACUGAGACACGGCCCAAACUCCUACGGGAGGCAGCAGUGGGGAAUCUUGCACAAUGGAGGAAACUCUGAUGCAGCGAUGCCGCGUGAGUGAAGAAGGCCUUUGGGUUGUAAAGCUCUUUCGUCGGGGAAGAAAAUGACUGUACCCGAAUAAGAAGGUCCGGCUAACUUCGUGCCAGCAGCCGCGGUAAUACGAAGGGACCUAGCGUAGUUCGGAAUUACUGGGCUUAAAGAGUUCGUAGGUGGUUGAAAAGGUUAGUGGUGAAAUCCCAGAGCUUAACUCUGGAACUGCCAUUAAAACUUUUUAGCUAGAGUAUGAUAGAGGAAAGCAGAAUUUCUAGUGUAGAGGUGAAAUUCGUAGAUAUUAGAAAGAAUACCAAUUGCGAAGGCAGCUUUCUGGAUCAUUACUGACACUGAGGAACGAAAGCAUGGGUAGCGAAGAGGAUUAGAUACCCUCGUAGUCCAUGCCGUAAACGAUGUGUGUUAGACGUUGGAAAUUUAUUUUCAGUGUCGCAGCGAAAGCGAUAAACACACCGCCUGGGGAGUACGACCGCAAGGUUAAAACUCAAAUGAAUUGACGGGGACCCGCACAAGUAGUGGAGCAUGUGGUUUAAUUCGAAGAUACGCGCAGAACCUUACCAACACUUGACAUGUUCGUCGCGACUCUAAGAGAUUAGAGUUUUCGGUUCGGCCGGACGAAACACAGGUGCUGCAUGGCUGUCGUCAGCUCGUGUCGUGAGAUGUUGGGUUAAGUCCCGCAACGAGCGCAACCCUCACUUUUAGUUGCCAUCAUUAAGUUGGGCACUCUGAAAGAACUGCCAGUGAUAAGCUGGAGGAAGGUGGGGAUGACGUCAAGUCCUCAUGGCCCUUACGUGUUGGGCUACACACGUGCUACAAUGGUAUCUACAACAGGAAGCAAGACUGCGAAGUUAAGCAAAUCCCUAAAAGAUACCUCAGUUCGGAUUGCACUCUGCAACUCGAGUGCAUGAAGCUGGAAUUACUAGUAAUCGUGGAUCAGCGUGCCACGGUGAAUGCGUUCCCGGGUCUUGUACUCACCGC